GAGGAAGGAGGGAGGCGUGCCUAAUACAUGCAAGUCGAGCGAACAGACGAGGAGCUUGCUCCUCUGACGUUAGCGGCGGACGGGUGAGUAACACGUGGAUAACCUACCUAUAAGACUGGGAUAACUUCGGGAAACCGGAGCUAAUACCGGAUAAUAUAUUGAACCGCAUGGUUCAAUAGUGAAAGACGGUUUUGCUGUCACUUAUAGAUGGAUCCGCGCCGCAUUAGCUAGUUGGUAAGGUAACGGCUUACCAAGGCAACGAUGCGUAGCCGACCUGAGAGGGUGAUCGGCCACACUGGAACUGAGACACGGUCCAGACUCCUACGGGAGGCAGCAGUAGGGAAUCUUCCGCAAUGGGCGAAAGCCUGACGGAGCAACGCCGCGUGAGUGAUGGAGGUCUUCGGAUCGUAAAACUCUGUUAUUAGGGAAGAACAAAUGUGUAAGUAACUAUGCACGUCUUGACGGUACCUAAUCAGAAAGCCACGGCUAACUACGUG
RNAcentral lists this ribosomal RNA (497 nucleotides) under uncultured bacterium. RNAcentral describes it as "partial 16S ribosomal RNA". It matches the Rfam family "Bacterial small subunit ribosomal RNA", at positions 28 to 507 of the family's 1533-position model. The record is from RNAcentral.